GCCAGGUGGAGUGGUGCGUGCACCUGUAGUCCCAGCUACUCAGGAGGCCGAGGUGGGAGGAUCACGUGAGCCCAGGAGUUCGGGGCUGUAGUGCGCUAUGCCCAUCAGGUGUCCACACUAAGUUCAGCAUCAAUAUGGUGACCUCCCAGGAACGGGGAACCAUCAGGUUGCCUAAGGAGGGGUGAACUGGCCUGGGUCAAAAACACAGCAGGUCAGAACUCCCAUGCUGCUCAGUAGGGGGAUCGCUCUCUGCGUAGCCGCUGCACUCCAGCCUGGGCACCAUAGUGACAUCCCAUCUCU
Molecule: signal recognition particle RNA, 300 nt
Filed under: Propithecus coquereli (Coquerel's sifaka)
Lineage: Eukaryota; Metazoa; Chordata; Mammalia; Primates; Indriidae
Description: Metazoan signal recognition particle RNA (ENSPCOG00000004585.1)
Rfam family: Metazoan signal recognition particle RNA
About the family: The signal recognition particle (SRP) is a universally conserved ribonucleoprotein. It is involved in the co-translational targeting of proteins to membranes.
Source: RNAcentral